Molecule: ribosomal RNA, 253 nt
Filed under: uncultured bacterium
Lineage: Bacteria
Description: partial 16S ribosomal RNA
Rfam family: Bacterial small subunit ribosomal RNA
Source: RNAcentral
UACGUAGGGGGCUAGCGUUGUCCGGAAUCAUUGGGCGUAAAGAGCGUGUAGGCGGCCCGGUAAGUCCGCUGUAAAAGUCAAAGGCUCAACCUUUGAAUGUCAGUGGAUACUGCCGGGCUAGAGUCCGGAAGAGGCGAGUGGAACUCCUGGUGUAGCGGUGGAAUGCGCAGAUAUCAGGAGGAACACCAGCGGCGAAGGCGGCGCUCUGGGCCGGUACUGACACUGAGGAGCGAAAGCGUGGGUAGCAAACAGG